Molecule: long non-coding RNA, 499 nt
Filed under: Monodelphis domestica (gray short-tailed opossum)
Lineage: Eukaryota; Metazoa; Chordata; Mammalia; Didelphimorphia; Didelphidae
Description: lncRNA (ENSMODG00000051137.1)
Source: RNAcentral
UAAAUCUUUAAUUAUUCUAAGUCAGGCUUGGUGCUUUCUUUUAGCAUUGUACAUAUGCUUGUUAUUAAAUUUCCUUAAUUUUGAGUGCUAAUGUUGAGUAUUAAUUCUCAGAAAUCAGAGAUGAGAGAGAGAAGGAUCCUUAGAGCUCAGCUAUGAAGUGGGAAAGACUAUGAGAUCUGAACAAUGUGUGUCACCGUGGAAAAAAACAAAACAAAACCCUGAAAUAUUGGCCUUUGGGUUCAGAGAAAAGUGAGUUCAAAAAUCUGUCUCUGAGAAUUACUAGCUUAUGGAAAUCUGGAAUCAGGACUAUGUACUGGUUUCAAAGCAGAAGAAGCGGUAAGGGCCAGGAAAUGAGGUUAAGAGACCUGCCCAGGGUCACACAACUGGGAAGUGACUGAGAGCAGACUGGAACCCAGAACCUCCUAUCUCUACAUCUGACUCCUAAUCUAUCUGCCAUGGAACCAAUGCAAACUAUUGAAUAUAAGAAAUAAGGUAAGAG